UACGGAGGGAGCUAGCGUUGUUCGGAAUUACUGGGCGUAAAGCGCGCGUAGGCGGCUUUGUAAGUUAGAGGUGAAAGCCCGGGGCUCAACCCCGGAAUUGCCUUUAAGACUGCAUCGCUUGAAUCCGGGAGAGGUGAGUGGAAUUCCGAGUGUAGAGGUGAAAUUCGUAGAUAUUGGGAAGAACACCGGUGGCGAAGGCGGCUCACUGGCCCGUUUCUGACGCUCAUGCACGACAGCGUGGGGAUCAAACAGG
This 253-nucleotide ribosomal RNA is filed under the name uncultured bacterium. Its description in RNAcentral is "partial 16S ribosomal RNA". It matches the Rfam family "Bacterial small subunit ribosomal RNA", at positions 524 to 776 of the family's 1533-position model. The record is from RNAcentral.